UGGGGAAUAUUGGACAAUGGGGGAAACCCUGAUCCAGCAAUGCCGCGUGGGUGAAGAAGGCCUUAGGGUUGUAAAUCCCUUUCGGCGGGGAAGAUGAUGACGGUACCCGCAGAAGAAGCCCCGGCUAACUCCGUGCCAGCAGCCGCGGUAAUACGGAGGGGGCUAGCGUUGUUCGGAAUUACUGGGCGUAAAGGGCGUGUAGGCGGUCGGUCAAGUUAGGCGUGAAAGCCCCGGGCUCAACCUGGGAACUGCGCUUAAUACUGAUCGACUAGAGACCGGGAGAGGUGAGUGGAAUUCCCAGUGUAGAGGUGAAAUUCGUAGAUAUUGGGAAGAACACCAGUGGCGAAGGCGGCUCACUGGCCCGGUUCUGACGCUGAUGCGCGAAAGCGUGGGGAGCAAACAGGAUUAGAUACCCCCGUAGUCC
Molecule: ribosomal RNA, 424 nt
Filed under: uncultured prokaryote
Description: bacterial SSU rRNA
Rfam family: Bacterial small subunit ribosomal RNA
Source: RNAcentral